AUUCGGGGAGACUAGGUUUCUACUUUUCUAAAAGACUAGCGUUCCCACACCGGGAGUCGAACCCGGGCCGCCUGGGUGAAAACCAGGAAUCCUAACCGCUAGACCAUGUGGGAGACGACGGUGACAGACUCUGCUAGGCUCGACAAAUUGAGCUGUUAUCACUGGCUUCCGCCCGCUCUAUCUCGCCAGCUCGCCAGCGUCAAACCUACUUGUGCGCCUGCGCCAACUCUGCGGCUGUUUAACCCUUUCCGACUUGCACAGAGGGAACUCGAAUUUCUCUUGUCUGCAGUCGCGCUUUUUGUGGUCUCAUGAGCCUCUUGGUCUUAGACGUCAGGCCGACAGCGAUGUAGCCCCUACAUUGUGUGAAUCAUUGUAAUUCCUCACGAGAGCUUUUGCAAAAUGCCAAAAGAAUGGCGUUUGCAUGUCGGAGCCUCUUUAGGCAGCAUGGACCGCGGGAAGCCUCAGAACCGCCGUCCCUGGACCUGCGGGUGUCCCCCUGUGCGCCACGGAUCCAGGCGGGCCGUGCCCUCUUUGCGGCGGUCAAGGCCGGCCCCAGGCAUCGUCCCGUCUCCGGAAAGCUGAUCUCUUCCUCUGAAGAAACAGAAACGGGAACGCGGGCCUCCUGGAAGCCUGGACAGAACAUCCAGGUUCUGUUGACCUAACGGCUAGAGAGGCUGGAUUUGGGCCGCUAAGAGCAGGCGGGGGUGGUUCCGAACGUGGCUUCUAAGCCGGGAGAAAGCCCCUUCCUGGAGGCCUUCCCGGUGCAUGGAAAUUCCUGUGGCUUCCAACCCCCUUGUGGACUGGAAGCUGCCCCUGGCCAGCCCAGCCAGCCGGGAGCGGCCCGGACGUUAGCCCAGGGCUGUGUGGGCGCCGGCAGCGGCUGAGGCGAGCGCUGGGGUCCUGGGGUCGUCGCUGGGGCUUCCUUCAGCCGCACGCAGGGGCUUUGCUGGCAGCGGACACGCGGGAGCCCGGGCGAGGGCUCGCUCUGGCCUGGCUCCCCACGUGCCCGGGGACCGAAGGAGGCCACAACGUGCGUUGUGAGGGUCACCGUCCGGAGGGGAGGAGCGAGGGAGGCCGCGGCGGGCACGACCCGACCUCGCGCAGGCGUGAGGCCUCCGGCCUGGCGGUGACCCUAGUCCAACGCCAUGAAGAUGGCGCGCGCUUGGAAGAGCCGGAAGCGUCGACUGCAGAUCUGCUGGGUGUGUGAGACGCGUCCCGGCGUCUUGGCGCAUUCAACUUCACAGUAUUUUAGGCAGAGUGGACAGUGAGAAAGAGACAGAGAGAAAGGUCUUCCUUUGCCGUUGGUUCACCUCCAAUGGCCGCCGCGCUGUGGCCGGCGCACCGCACUGAUCCGAAGGCAGGAUCCAGGCACUCUGGCACCCUGAAGCCGUCACCACGAAGUCCUCACCAGAGCCAGGCUGAGACCAGCUGCUUGCCCUUGCAUCUCCAGAAUCGUAAGCCAAAUAAACCUCUCUUCUUCAUAGUUACUCUGCCUAAUGAAAAACUGAGUAACACUGUUAGUAUCCUACAAGGCUUAAAGAAAAAUAAAUAAAUAAAGGUAACCUCCUGUCUGCCAGAGAGAAAUAAAAUAACUUGCUAUCAGAUAAUCAAUAGUGUACAAAUUAACAUCCCACUCUGCAGAGGCUGGGCGCUGAUGGACAGGAAGUGACCUCAGAAAGCGUCAGUUAACCAUGUGGUAGGAGUGCUGGACCUGCUCCAGCACCUGGUUCCUCAAACACUGUGGUUCUACAACUCACAGGAAUUAUGGAAAACAUCCAGCAGCCUCUGUUUGUGUCAGCUAUCCAUUAAUGUAACAAAUUAAAAUCAAAAAUUUAAACCUAUAAAUCCACUUAAAAACAUCAUAAAUCCAUCUACCUAUUAAUCCAACUAACAUGUUUAAAGAAAAUUCUAUUUUCUGAUUAAAAAAUUAGUGACACCAUUUUAGUUCUGCAAAUCAUUGGGAUUUCAAAAUAGUUUAUUGUUGGCAGUCAUCUCAGAGGUGAGAGCAACAAUACCAGGAUUAAGCAGUGAUGGGGUACAGGAAAAGUACCAAGUGUAUCUCUAAAACCUCCUAAGUAUAUCCUUAAUCUACUGCCUUAGAAAAUUCAAGAAAAUGAAAGAAUAGUCAAAGGCAGGUUUAACAUCACACAUCAUGUAACUUUUGGAAACUUCACUGUGCACUUGUAACAGAAUGAAAGUGAAAUAGGCAAAUCAUGUCUCAGAAUUACAAAAAAUAGUUUUAUAGACCUCAGACCACACUUUGACAAACAGCUACCCCAAAAUGACAUUGAAAUGGCGUGCAGCAACCGAUUUUCUUUGAAAUAAAGUUUCAGUAAGUUUUUUUAAACAUGAGGAGACUUCAAAAAGUUCAUGGAAAAAGAGAAUAAAAUGCUAAGUUUAUUUUGGUGCAAAAAAUCUUUUAUAUCCAUGCAUAUGAGGAGUUUUAGAAAUAAUUCAUGGAAACUGCAUACUAUGAAAAUACUAAGAAUGGAUUUCAAUUUUUUUUGGCACAUUUUUUGAACUAUCCUUGUAUAU
This is a non-coding RNA of Oryctolagus cuniculus (rabbit), 2535 nucleotides long. Lineage: Eukaryota; Metazoa; Chordata; Mammalia; Lagomorpha; Leporidae. The record is from RefSeq and is a predicted model, not a curated record.